GGUGAGAUGGCCGAGCGGUCUAAGGCGCCAGACUAAGGAUCAGUUCGCACUGCGAACACAUCUUGUACUCAUCCGAGGCAAUCUGGUCCGAAAGGGCGUGGGUUCGAAUCCCACUCUCAUCA
Coniophora puteana RWD-64-598 SS2 is the source of this 122-nucleotide transfer RNA. It matches the Rfam family "tRNA". From Rfam's summary of the family: Transfer RNA (tRNA) molecules are approximately 80 nucleotides in length. Their secondary structure includes four short double-helical elements and three loops (D, anti-codon, and T loops). The record is from Rfam. Lineage: Eukaryota; Fungi; Basidiomycota; Agaricomycetes; Boletales; Coniophoraceae.